GUCUCUAUCUCUCUGUCUCUUUCUGUGUCUGUCUCUCUCUUCUGUUUCUGUCUUUCUCUCUCUGUCUGUCUCCGUUUUUCUGUUUCUCUUCUAGCUCUCUCUGUCUCUAUUUCUGUGUCUCUGUCUUUCUAUCUCUUUGUGUCUCUCUGUCUCUCUCAGGAGACAAGCUUUCACACACGGGUAUUCCUGCAGUCCUAAGGCAUAGUCUCACCAGGAAUCUUGCUCUCCUGCCGCUUCCCUCUCAGCGGGAUGAUCCUGGCUCCAGGUCCCCUCUGCUACACUGCCUUUUGGCAAGACUGGCCACUGUACAGCUAUGACUCAGUUUCCUCCCAGGUGUGCUUUCACCUGCAUUGUGCCAGGCCCUGGAGAUAAGAUAUAUGGAAAGAACACAGUUGCUGAACAGGAACACAGUUACGUCCAAUUGGUAGACGUUGAGAAAGAGGUGGAUAAAAUUUUAAACGCCUUAGAAAUGAGACCCUGAAAGAGACUGGAAACUGAGUGGACGUCCAUCAGUGGGAGAAUGGCUGGAUAAAUUGUGGUAUAUGAAUAUUAUGGAAUAUUAUUGUUCUGUAAGAAACAAUCAGCAGGAUGAUGUCAGAGAGGCCUGGAGAGACUGACAGGAACUGAUGCUGAGUGAAAUGAGCAGGACCAGGAGACUCAUUAUAACGGCAACAACAAGAUUAUACAAGGAUCGAUUCUGAUGGAUGUGGCUCUUCUCAACAGUGAGAUGGUCCAGACCGGUCCCAAUGGUCUUGUGGUGGAGAGAGCCAUUUGCCAAUCGUCUCAAUUUCUCCAUCUGUAAAAUGGGACCAUUGGACUUCCUAACCUCGAAGACCCCAAAUCCUAAGCUCUAUGACCUUCUGACAGGAAUUUAAGCUGAAAUUGAGCUUUCCCUCAAGAUGUGCUCUGCAGGCAGAUGGAUGGAUGAAGGAGCAGCACGGUGGGAACCAUCGGCCCAGCAGAAGAUUCGAGCGUAAGGAGACUUUCUGCAUAUUCUGGCCCACUGGCAGACCUCCAGAUGGCCGAAGCAGAGCAUCGCCAUGAGCAGCGUACAGCGUGAGAGGAGAGUUGGGAGAGUGGCUCCUGUACACGUGAUUCCCAAGAAUCUUAAAGCUGGAAGGCAAUCUCGGGGCGCCCGGCCCGACCUCCCCAACGAGCAGCUUGCAGUCUCCACUUGAAGACUUCCAAGAAGGGCCACUUCCCCCUUGCCGAGGUAGCCCGGGCCACUUUGUGAUGCUAGUUGUGAGAAAGUUCUUUGACCCUUUUUAUCUCACUGUCCCCUUCUGGCACCCCUUCUUGUGAACCAUUCCCCGAUCCGGUUUCCCUAUCUUGUUAUCGAUGUUGUUCGGUCAUUUUUCAAUUGUGUCUGGCUGUGUGUGACCCCGUUUGGGAUUUUCUUGGCAAAGAUGCUGGAGUGAUUGAACAUUUCCUUCUCCAGCCCAUUUUACAGAUGAGCAAACUGAGGCAAGCAGGUGAAGCGACUUGCCCAGGAUCACACAGCUAGUGAGUCUCUGAGGCCAGAUGUGAAGAAAGGUUUUCCUGACUUCAGGACAGUGCCCCCGUACCUUCCUUGUCUCCUUCCACUGCUUUCCAGCCCCAUCUCCUCUCUGUCUUCCUGGUUAACAAGCCAGUCUGGCCCAGACCACUUCCUCUCACUCCAUUUUUCUCUCUUUUGAUUGGUCAGUCAGUCAACAAGUAUUUAUUAAGAACCUACUAUGUGCUAGGCCCUGGGUAACUGCUGGGGAUGUAAAUAAAGGCCUCCCCCAAAGCAUUUCCACUCAGCAGCUUUAGGGUUCUGGGCCAUCCUCCGAGAUUGGAGCGGCUCACUUGGCUUGGAUCCUUCAUCCUGAGCUCCUGUCUCUCUGGGUCUUCAGCCCCCGCAGGCCUCCCUUCCCUCCAGGACUUAAGUCAGCUACUCUCUGGCACAUAGUGGGUGGUUAAUGAAUCCCAGUUGUCUUAGCCUUGACCCCAUAAAGACCCGUGAGCUAGAGAACCUCACAAUUAGAUAAAUGGAAAACUAGCUAAACACAGGCUCCAGCGAGCGGGCCUGAAGCGCGCAAUGUCAGCGGCCUUUGGCUGAACCAAAGGAGGGGAAAUAGAAUGGGAACAGACGCUUAAAGCCUUAGAUUUGGUUAGGAGACCAUCAUCCUACAUCAAAGAUGGGGGGUAGGUUUAGAUGGUAGUUUGAAAAAGAGUUGAGAGUUUUAGUGGACCACAAGCUCAUUAGGUAUCAACCAUGUGACUUGGUAGUUAAACGCACACUCACGUGACCUUGGGCCUAUGCUAACAAAACAGUUUAGUUAUUAGCAUUUUCCCCAUCACUUUCUUAAGUCCAGACAGUCCCCAGAACAAUAAAGCCAAGCCCCACUUGGCCCUGUGCCCAUUUCUGAGGUGUGGCUGCCGGGGUAACCCUUGGUGGGAGUACGCCCUGAGGGGGGUCAGAGAGGGAGAGCCCCACUGUGCCCCCAGCCCUGGGCCGUGCCUCCGGGGGAGCCUCCGGGGGAGUCGCUGAAGGAGUCGCAGAAGGAGCGGGUACUGAGACAGAAUCAGAGGCCCAAGUGGCAAAGUCCUGCAGGGAGCGGCUGAGGGGGCUGGUGCUGCGCCCCGCAGUGUGAGGGGCAGCAGGAAGGCAAGCGCGCCGUGUCCAGGCCAGGGGAGAGGCCACCCAGGCCAGGGACACUUUGUGGCAAGGACAGGGAGAAUGUGCUGAACCUCCUGCCGCUCUGACUCGGGGAAGGCUUAGCCUCCAGAACAGACGCUCAGCGGCCUCCCCAGCUG
This is a long non-coding RNA of Antechinus flavipes (yellow-footed antechinus), 2778 nucleotides long. RefSeq lists it as uncharacterized. Lineage: Eukaryota; Metazoa; Chordata; Mammalia; Dasyuromorphia; Dasyuridae. The transcript has 3 exons. The record is from RefSeq and is a predicted model, not a curated record.